Molecule: unclassified non-coding RNA, 2771 nt
Filed under: Hevea brasiliensis (rubber tree)
Lineage: Eukaryota; Viridiplantae; Streptophyta; Magnoliopsida; Malpighiales; Euphorbiaceae
Source: RNAcentral
AAUUCUUUCCUCUUUUGUGUUCUUCUUCUUCCCCGCUACUAUCUUUGUACUAUUCUCGUCAGAAUUAAUGUUAGCUCAGGUCUGUUUUACAGUCCCACUCAUCUGUUCCAUGUUAAAAUUUUCUCUAUCAGGACGACUUACCUGGUCCAAUGUCACUGAAUCAUAAAAACGAAAAUUAAACAAGUGCAAUUAAUGGUCUCUGUGAAAGAGCCAAUUCGAGAAUGGAGAAUUUUUGCUUCUGGCUCUGUGACUGUGUUCGUCUUCGAAUAAGCGCGGGAUUGAUGUGGAAGGGAUCUGUUUCAUUAAUUGUGAAAAAAAUAUAUGUAUGCAUCGAGAACGCAGCCCAAGUCAUUGAUAAUGGAGAAAAUAGAAACAAGCCCUUUUCUUCGCAUUGUUCUCUCCAAUCCUCAAGGCGGAGAAUGCUGAGCUAGACGCGACAAAGUUCCAAAACAUAUGCUGGCCAAAGGACGGCCAAGUAUACCCUUGCCUUCACAUUUCUUAUAUGAUCAAACAAUUUGUUGCCAACCCUUAAUGCCAUUUUACUUUUCCUUUUUCUUUUCUAUGUCACCUAGCAAUCACAGCUUCACUUCUCCACGAAAAGUUGAGGAUUUUGAGAGAUGGGUUGUGUUCUUACCAAGAGAUCCACCACCUCCCCUCUUAAUCAGAGACUAGAAAAUUUGAAGCAGGAACGAGGUUAUGUUGGCAGACCUAAUAAUGGGCGGGGUGAUCCUGUAGGGAAGUUGUUUAGGCAAGACGCAGACAACAAAAGGGUGGUAGUCCUAAAUGGAGUCGGGGAGAAAUUGGUUACUAGAGAAGGAGCAAAGAAUGAUGGUGUUAGAAAUGUCUCGCAAAGAUUUACUUCGAAGAAGAUUGGCGGAGAUGAGCUUGUGGAUGGAUGGCCUAAGUGGCUUGUUGAUAACAUCCCCACAGAAGUUUUGGCUGGUUUGGUCCCAAAGAGUGCCGAUUCUUAUGAUAAGCUAGCAAAGAUAGGCCAAGGAACUUACAGCAAUGUGUAUAAAGCCAGAGAUAGAGACACUGGGAAGAUUGUUGCUUUAAAGAAGGUUCGGUUCGACACAUCGGAGUCUGAGAGUAUUAAGUUUAUGGCAAGAGAGAUAAUGAUACUACAGAAGCUAGAUCAUCCUAAUGUCAUCAAGCUAGAAGGACUAGCCACAUCAAGGAUGCAAUACAGUCUUUACCUUGUCUUCGAUUUCAUGCAAUCUGAUCUAACUAGAAUCAUCUCCCGUCCAGGCCAGAGGCUAACUGAACCACAGGUUAAAUGCUAUAUGCAUCAACUGCUUUCAGGCCUCCAGCACUGUCAUGAGAGGGGAAUUCUACAUCGAGACAUUAAAGCUUCCAACUUAUUGAUAGACAAAGAUGGGAGGCUAAAAAUUGCUGAUUUUGGGCUUGCUAAUUUCUUCAUUCCUAAACCAAAAAGACCCCUUACAAGUAGGGUGGUAACACUCUGGUAUAGAGCUCCAGAGCUGCUGUUGGGUUCUACAGAUUAUGGAGUGGGCAUUGAUCUGUGGAGUGCAGGAUGCCUGUUAGCUGAAAUGUUCAUUGGCAGGCCAAUUAUGCCUGGAAGGACAGAGGUUGAGCAACUUCACAGGAUUUUCAAGCUUUGUGGCUCACCACCAGAGGAUUACUGGAAGAUAAUGAGACUACCAACAAGUUUCAGACCACCACAACAUUAUAAACCUAGUUUUCAAGAAGCUUUCAGGCAUUUUCCUGAUUCUUCCUUUGGUCUCCUGACCACACUUCUCGCUCUGAACCCAGCAUAUCGUGGUACUGCUACUUCUGCUCUUCAAAGUCAGUUCUUCACUUCAAGCCCAUUGGCGUGCGAGCUUUCAGGUCUACCAGUAAUACACAGAGAGAAGGAUGAACCAACUCAAGCUAAUGAUCGGAAGAAGCGCAAGAAAUCAAGAAAAACCUCUCGAGAUGGUCAUGAAGGCCAUGGGAGGAGGAGCUUGAGUACUAUACAACCCAAAGAAGACACUGAAUCUUCUAAAGAGGUAAGAAUCAUUCCUCAAUUACUUUCUUUCCUAACAAUUAGUUUAUCACAAAAACAGGAUUCUAUUUUGUUUAGCUAAGAAUAUCAUCAAUCUAAAGAAGGAAAAGAAAAAUAAUCUCAUAUCCACAAAUUAAAAUCAACCCCUCUGCCAUUAGGCUACUAGUCUAGUGAUCAAAUGCAAGUUCUUCAAUCUUUUGUUGUAGUUGGAGAGGUGCUCAGAGUCCAACACGAGUGGGCAAGAAACAGGAAACAGUGCAAGUAGUAGCACUUCUUCUGGUUUAAUAGCUAUCAGGGAAGAGCAAAAACUACGUCCAUCAUUUUCUCCUGGUCGCCCUUCUCGCCAGAACAGAAAAAUGAGAACAGAGGCUCAUCCUAAUGCAAUGAGGAAUAUCCAAAACUUCACCCUUUUACAGGCCUCUAUAACAGAUAUCAUCAACCACAAUGCAGGAGGAGGCAAUGGAAUGCCUGGUUAUCGUAGGUCUAUUUCUACGUUGGACCUUCGUACUCUUGAUCCAGACAAGAUUUCAGAACUCUUUGGAUUGGAUAAAAAUUAAGCUAUUCUUGAUCAUUGAUCAUGUAUGUGCAAGCAACUACUUAAUUAAAUUACCAAUGCGGUCUUAUAAAGAUGUGUGUGUGCAUGCGCGCCUGCACGUGCUACUUGUUUGGUUUUGUACUUAAAUGUAGAGAUUCAAUUGCAAUAAGGAGUUGGUCAUGAUUGUUUAUUUUAAAUGUAUUAUAUUUUUAUCCUAAAUGCAUUAUCUUG